UACAGAGGUCCCAAGCGUUGUUCGGAUUCAUUGGGCGUAAAGGGUGCGUAGGCGGCGCGGUAAGUCGGGUGUGAAAUUUCGGAGCUUAACUCCGAAACUGCAUUCGAUACUGCGGUGCUUGAGGACUGGAGAGGAGACUGGAAUUCAUGGUGUAGCAGUGAAAUGCGUAGAGAUCAUGAGGAAGACCAGUGGCGUAGGCGGGUCUCUGGACAGUUCCUGACACUGAGACACGAAGGCCAGGGGAGCAAACGGG
Molecule: ribosomal RNA, 253 nt
Filed under: uncultured bacterium
Lineage: Bacteria
Description: partial 16S ribosomal RNA
Rfam family: Bacterial small subunit ribosomal RNA
Source: RNAcentral